ACACACACACACACACACACACUGACAUACACAUACUCACACUAUACGCACACACACAAAUGGGAUUUUUAGAGUGUAUGCAAGUUCAAAUCCCAGAACUGCCAAGCACGUCAGUAAUUAAGUCAGUGAGUAAGUCAGUAAAUUAGUAAAUCAGUAAUUAAGUCAGUGAGUAAGUCAGUAAAUUAGUAAGUCGGUAAUUAAGUCAGUAAGAAGGUCAGUGAGUAAGUCGGUAAAUUAGUAAGUCAGUAAUUAAGUCAGUGAGUAAGUCAGUAAAUUAGUAAGUCAGUAAUUAAGUCAGUAAGAAGGUCAGUGAGUAAGUCGGUAAAUUAGUAAGUCAGUAAUUAGGUCAGUAAUUAAGUCAGUAGUUAAGUCAGUAGGUAAGUCAGUGAGUAAGUCAGUAAAUUAGUAAGUCAGUAAUUAGGUCAGUAAUUAAGUCAGUAGUUAAGUCAGUAGGUAAGUCAGUGAGUAAGUCAGUAAAUUAGUAAGUCAGUAAUAAAGUCAGUAAGUCAGUAAUCAAGUCAGUGAGUAAGUCAGUAAAUUAGUAAGUCGGUAAUUAAGUCAGUAAGAAGGUCAGUGAGUAAGUCGGUAAAUUAGUAAGUCGGUAAUUAGGUCAGUAAUUAAGUCAGUAAUUAAGUCAGUAGUUAAGUCAGUAAUUAAGUCAGUAGUUAAGUCAGUAAUUAAGUCAGUAGGUAAGUCAGUGAGUAAGUCAGUAAAUUAGUAAGUCAGUAAUAAAGUCAGUAAGUGAGUCAGUAAAUUAGUAAGUCAGUAAUUAAGUCAGUAAUCAAGUCAGUAAGUAAGUCAGUAAUCAAGUCAGUGAGUAAGUCAGUAAUUUAGUUAGUCAGUAAUUAAGUCAGUAAGUCAGUGAGUAAGUCAGUAAUUAAGUCAGUAAUUAAGUCAGUAAGUUAGUAAGUCAGUAUUUAAUUCCGUAAGUGAGUCAGUAAGUUAUUAAAGAGUAAGGCAGCACAUGAGUCAUUAAUUCAUUAAGUGAGUAAGUUGCUAAGUUAGUGAGUUAUUAAGUCUGUAAAUUAUUAAGUCAGUAAUUAAUUCAGUGAGUCAUUACAUUAUUAAAUAAGUGAGACGGUUAGUAAGUUGGUAAGUCAGGAAGUAAGUGAGUAAUUAAGUCAGUAAGUGAGUCAGUUAGCUAUUAAGUCAGUGAUUAUGUCGGUAAGUCAGUAAUUUAGUAAAUCAGUAAAUUA
This is a long non-coding RNA of Ictalurus punctatus (channel catfish), 1196 nucleotides long. Lineage: Eukaryota; Metazoa; Chordata; Actinopteri; Siluriformes; Ictaluridae. The record is from Ensembl.